Homo sapiens (human) is the source of this 644-nucleotide long non-coding RNA. The record is from Ensembl. Lineage: Eukaryota; Metazoa; Chordata; Mammalia; Primates; Hominidae.
GAGAGUCUGUGGCUCAGCCAUCGUGACUAUGUAACCAGUAUUGGUCGGUGGCCCAAGGUCUCUCUCCUUUCAGGGUUCAACCUCCAACCUUAUUUCUGCUUCCUUCAUGUUGGAAUUCACACUGUGAGAAUUGUUGUCAUCCUUUCUCUACGACUCCAAGAGAAACUUUAUACUGGAGGAAGAAUAUUCUACCACUUUGGGAUGCUUCCAAAGAAAUGGGAUACCAAAGGAGUGAACUUCAGGUCAUUGGAAGUGGCCAAGCUGGAGGGCGACCUAUGGAGACAUGACCUUCAGUUCUUCCUGAGAUCGAUAAAGCUUAAAAGAAAAGAAAAAGCCAACUCAGCUUGUGCGUGGAUCCUGGACCUUGCUCUAAUACAGACCCCGCUCCUGGAGUGGAAUAGGGAGACCAGAGGAGAGGGGAGAGAUAGGGGAAUUGCCGGUCAGUGGAACAGUCAGAACACAGACAACAUUUACUGACCUUCUCGAGGAUAUUGGAGAUAUUCUGCCCUGCCUGCCACCUCUCACCUCCUCUUUCCUGGAGCAGGAGGAGUGACUUACCUGUUUGCUGGGAAGGGGAGAAAUUAACACCCACUGCUCCACGUGGGAAAGAAGGAUGUAUUAAAUUAAAGGUCUCCAUUCUCAAA